RNAcentral lists this ribosomal RNA (253 nucleotides) under uncultured bacterium. RNAcentral's name for it is "partial 16S ribosomal RNA". It matches the Rfam family "Bacterial small subunit ribosomal RNA", at positions 524 to 776 of the family's 1533-position model. The record is from RNAcentral.
UACGUAGGUGGCAAGCGUUGUUCGGAAUUAUUGGGCGUAAAGAGCUCGUAGGCGGCCUGUUGCGUCCGCUGUGAAAGCCCGGGGCUUAACCCCGGGUCGGCAGUGGAUACGGGCAGGCUAGAGGUAGGUAGGGGAGAAUGGAAUUCCCGGUGUAGCGGUGAAAUGCGCAGAUAUCGGGAGGAACACCGGUGGCGAAGGCGGUUCUCUGGGCCUUACCUGACGCUGAGGAGCGAAAGCGUGGGGAGCGAACAGG